Molecule: long non-coding RNA, 359 nt
Filed under: Nicotiana benthamiana
Lineage: Eukaryota; Viridiplantae; Streptophyta; Magnoliopsida; Solanales; Solanaceae
Description: long non-coding RNA (NBEN_LNC007922)
Source: RNAcentral
GAUGAGACUGAUCACACUUGAUUAGCGAGAAAUUAUGACAUCAAUCAUUAACGAGUGAGUAUUACACCAAGAAUUUACAAGCGGAUCGAGGAAUGAAGGGAGAGGAAUUAGAAUAGAAAGAAAGAGACGGAUUUCGAAUUAGAGUAAGGGCACGCUAAGACAUUCCUUUUCGUGCUUUCGAUCUGCUUACUUUGAAUAAAGAUAAAAAAAAUAAUAGAUAGGCGGAAAGGCUAUUUUGAAUUAGAGUAAAGGCACGCUAAGUUCCUUUUCGUGCUUCGAUCUGCUUACUUUGAAUAAAGAUAAAAAAAUAAUAGAUAGGCGGAAAGGCUUUACACAAGACCACAGAGCGAGAGAGAGAG